Papaver somniferum (opium poppy) is the source of this 4193-nucleotide RNA transcript. It is a transcript of the gene named kinesin-like protein KIN-4A, with no coding region annotated. NCBI's taxonomy places the organism in Eukaryota, Viridiplantae, Streptophyta, Magnoliopsida, Ranunculales, Papaveraceae. The transcript has 25 exons. The record is from RefSeq and is a predicted model, not a curated record.
ACUAGAUAUCCGAAAGAGUACAUAGUUGUUCUGUUGAAAGGAAUGUCACUUUUCAAGUGUAAGAGUAAGAUUUAAGUUACAUAUAAGGGCUAUAAUUGGAAAGAGUGUUAGAAAAGUUUUUGUAAGUGUAUUUUUCCACCAUUUUUUUUUCUGUUACUUGCUACUACUUCUACUACUGACUAUACUAUCACUAGUUUUUGCAGUGAAUUUUAAGGAAACAUGAUUUAGUAGAAGUGGUUGUUGUUUUCAUUUCAGUUAUCUUCUCUUCUCAUACAUUUUUAUUAAGUUUCUUCCCCCCUCCCCCAACAAACUUCUUGAAUUAAACUCCUUUCUGGAAUUGAAUCAGUUUAAGGAACCCUAAAUUUCUUCAUGAAUAUGAUUAGAUUGUCUCUCUACAAAAAGUAAUUCAUAUUUUCUUGUUUGCAUUAACUGAUGACAAUGGAGACUAGUGAAGACUGUUGUGUAAAAGUUGCAGUUCAUGUUAGACCAUUAAUUGGUGAUGAAAGAUUACAAGGUUGUAUAGAUUGUGUUAAUGUUGUUCCUGGCAAACCACAGAUACAAAUCGGGACACAUUCUUUCACUUUUGAUCAUGUCUAUGGAAGCAGUGGCUCUCCAUCAUCUUCCAUGUUUGAAGAGUGUGUUGCUCCACUUGUAGACGGUUUAUUCCAAGGAUACAAUGCCACUGUUCUUGCUUAUGGUCAGACUGGUUCAGGGAAAACAUACACCAUGGGGACAGGUUCCAAUGAUUCUCAAUCAGGUCUCAUCCCUCAAGUAAUGAAUGCUCUGUUCAGGAAAAUGGAAACUUUGAAGCAUGAAUCAGAAUUCCAAUUAAAUGUUUCCUUCAUUGAGAUUUUAAAAGAAGAGGUGCACGACUUGCUAGAUUCCACAUCUUUAAACAAAUCAGAAACUACCAAUGGACAUGCUGUGAAAAUUGCGAGCCCUGGUAAACCACCAAUUCAAAUUCGUGAGUCAUCAAAUGGUGUUAUAACAUUAGCUGGAUCAACUGAAGUUGGUGUUAGUGCACUAAAAGAAAUGGCCGCAUGCCUUGAACAAGGAUCAUUAAGUAGGGCAACAGGAAGCACAAACAUGAACAACCAGUCCAGUCGUUCGCAUGCUAUAUUCACAAUUACUCUAGAGCAGAUUCGUAAACCCAAACCAGCUUCUCCUGGGGAUACCAACCAAUAUGAGGAUAUGAGUGAAGAAUAUCUAUGUGCAAAGCUCCAUUUGGUGGAUCUUGCUGGAUCAGAGAGAGCUAAACGAACGGGCUCUGAUGGUCUUCGUUUUAAGGAAGGAGUUCAUAUCAACAAGGGACUUCUUGCACUUGGUAACGUGAUAAGUGCACUUGGUGACGAGAAGAAGAGGAAAGAAGGCGCUCACGUGCCUUAUAGGGACAGUAAACUUACUCGUCUCUUGCAGGAUUCACUUGGUGGAAACAGCAGAACUGUUAUGAUAGCUUGCAUCAGCCCAGCUGAUAUUAAUGUUGAGGAGACUCUUAAUACUCUCAAGUAUGCUAAUCGAGCUCGAAAUAUUCAGAAUAAGCCCAUUGUUAAUAGGGAUCCUAGAUCCAAUGAGAUGCAAAAAAUGCGUCAGCAACUUGAAUGUUUGCAAGCAGAACUACUUACUCGUAGUGCAAGAGUUUCAUCUGAAGAAGUUCAGGUUCUCAAAGAAAGGAUUGCUUGGCUUGAGGCCUCUAAUGCAGAUCUCUGUAGGGAACUUCAUGAGUACCGUCGCAGAAGCAAUUCAGUAGAGCAUUGUGCAACCAAUUCUCCACAAGGUGCAGACAGUGUUCCAAAAAGCGAUGGGCUAAAGAGGGGCUUGCAGAAUCUUGGCUCAUCAGAUUUGAUAAUGGCUGAAACCAUCACAUGUGACAAUUCCAAAGAAAUUGAUGAAGAAGUAGCAAAAGAGUGGGAGCAUACACUUCUGCAAAAUACCAUGGACAAAGAAUUAAAUGAGUUAAAUAAGCGUCUGGAACAAAAAGAGUCAGAGAUGAAACUGUUUGGAGGUUUUGAUACUAUGGCACUGAAGCAGCACUUUGGGAAGAAAAUCAUGGAACUUGAGGACGAGAAAAGAACUGUGCAGCAAGACAGGGAUCGUCUGUUGGCUGAAGUUGAAAGUCUCGCUGCUAAUUCUGAUGGUCAAACUCAGAAAAUGCAAGAUGUUCACACACAUAAACUUAAGGCACUUGAAGCACAGAUUUUGGAUCUCAAGAAGAAGCAGGAUGGUCAAGUUCAGAUUGUAAAGCAAAAACAAAGAACUGAUGAAGCAACUAAGCGGCUACAGGAUGAAAUACAAUAUAUCAAGUCACAGAAGGUCCAACUUCAACAUAGGAUUAAGCAAGAGGCAGAGCAGUUUCGCCAGUGGAAGGCCUCUCGAGAAAAGGAACUUUUACAGCUGCGGAAAGAGGGUAGGAAAAAUGAGUAUGAACGGCAUAAACUACAGGCUCUAAAUCAGCGUCAGAAAAUGGUUCUUCAAAGAAAAACUGAAGAGGCUGCCAUGGCAACCAAAAGGCUAAAAGAGUUGCUUGAAGGUCGCAAGUCUUCAUCGCGUGAUAGCUCAGGGACUACUAACGGUAAUCACCAAAAUAAUGAGAAAUCCUUACAAAAAAUGCUUGAUCAUGAGCUAGAAGUUCUGGUGAAUGUGCAUGAAGUUCGCCUCGAGUAUGAAAAGCAAAGCCAAGUACGAGCUGCUCUGGCAGAAGAGUUGGCCAUAUUGAAACAAGAGGAUGGUUUUGCUUCCAAGGGGUUUAAUUCCCCUAGCAAAAAGAAUGGGCACUCAAGAGUAUCCUCCAUGACGCCAAAUACAAGAAUGUCAAGAAUUGCAUCUCUUGAGAGCAUGAUGAGCAUUUCUUCGAAUGCACUUGUAGCAAUGGCAUCUCAACUUUCAGAAGCAGGAGAGAGGGAGCGUGCCUUCACUGGCCGUGGACAUUGGAAUCAGUUGCGUACAAUGGUAGAUGCAAAGAACUUGCUUCAACAAAUGUUUAAUGCUGCUGCAGAUGCAAGAUGUCGGUUAUGGGAAAAGGAAGUUGAAGUUAAGGAAAUGAAAGAACAAUUGAAGGAGCUCGUUGGUCUACUGCGACAAAGUGAGGCACGGCGAAAAGAGAUUGAGAAGCAGCAAAAGUUGAGAGAGCAAUCCGUGGCAGUUGCCUUGGCUACAUCAACUAAGGGCAACGGAAACGUUUCACCAAAAUAUUUCGCUGAUGACAUGUGUGGAUCUAUGAAUCCAAUGGCAGUGCUGGCGCAAAAGCAACUUAAAUUCACACCAGGCAUAGCUAAUGGUUCAAUCAGAGAAUCAGCAGCCUUUUUGGACCAAACGCGAAAGAUGGUACCGAUUGGGCAGUUAUCGAUGGGAAAGAAACUGGCAGUUGCAGGUCAAGCUGGGAAGCUCUGGAAGUGGAAGAGAAGUCACCACCAAUGGUUGGUACAAUACAAAUGGAAGUGGCAAAAGCCAUGGAGACUCUCUGAAUAUAUCAGACAUAGUGAUGAAACGAUCGUCCGAACAAAGCCCAGGCAGCAGAUUCGUGCAGCGUGAUUUAUUAUAUAUGAGACAAUUUCCAAUUCUUACAUGCUCUAUUUUCAGCUUUGAAUGAUAGAGAUGAUCCCCAACAAAAUGCACGGAGUAGAAACAAGGAUAUUGUGCAUAUGUUGUGCUGUAAAUUAGUGGUGGGAGAUCGCGGCUUUGUCUGAGAUAAGCAGAUGUAUAAUUGUGGUAAAUUUGCUCAGAUAGUAGUAUCUCAGUUUGCCAAUGUCAGAUAAAGAAGUUAUAUCUCAGUUGGGAUACACACAAUGAGCGGCAUCAUGUAAAGUGUUUUCGAUGUUGUUCUAGGUGGGUAACCUACAGUUGUUGUAGUAGCAGUGAUACUAGUGGUGAUUGAAGGCUAGAAAAGUUGAAUGGUAUAAGUAGGCGUUGGUUUUCAUGGAUAUGUAAGGGUAGUAGUAAGUAACUAGUCUAUUGUUUGUUCAUUUUUCACUCUCAUUUUUCUUCUAAUUUUUUUCAAUCACAGAGAAAAAAGAGAGUGAGAUCUUCUAGUGUGCCAUGGCCUUGGAUGGGACACGCUCAUUGUAAUAAUUAAUUGUUAUGAUUAUUGUUUUCAUAGUGUGGAAAAAGUAAAAAAGAGAUCAAUUGAAGUUUUUUUUUGUUUUGUGUAUAGACGAAAAAACUGAAGUGGUGUGUUGUUUAAAUAAAGUGGUAAUUAU